This 206-nucleotide ribosomal RNA is filed under the name uncultured bacterium. RNAcentral's name for it is "partial 16S ribosomal RNA". It matches the Rfam family "Bacterial small subunit ribosomal RNA", at positions 568 to 774 of the family's 1533-position model. The record is from RNAcentral.
UGUGUAGGUGGCGCGCUAAGUCGGGUGUGAAAUUUCGGAGCUUAACUCCGAAACUGCAUUCGAUACUGGCGUGCUUGAGGACUGGAGAGGAGACUGGAAUUUACGGUGUAGCAGUGAAAUGCGUAGAUAUCGUAAGGAAGACCAGUGGCGAAGGCGGGUCUCUGGACAGUUCCUGACACUGAGACACGAAGGCCAGGGAGCAAACG